This 428-nucleotide ribosomal RNA is filed under the name Helicobacter pylori. RNAcentral's name for it is "bacterial SSU rRNA". It matches the Rfam family "Bacterial small subunit ribosomal RNA", at positions 1102 to 1533 of the family's 1533-position model. Lineage: Bacteria; Pseudomonadati; Campylobacterota; Epsilonproteobacteria; Campylobacterales; Helicobacteraceae. The record is from RNAcentral.
CCCCCUUUCUUAGUUGCUAACAGGUUAUGCUGAGAACUCUAAGGAUACUGCCUCCGUAAGGAGGAGGAAGGUGGGGACGACGUCAAGUCAUCAUGGCCCUUACGCCUAGGGCUACACACGUGCUACAAUGGGGUGCACAAAGAGAAGCAAUACUGCGAAGUGGAGCCAAUCUUCAAAACGCCUCUCAGUUCGGAUUGUAGGCUGCAACUCGCCUGCAUGAAGCUGGAAUCGCUAGUAAUCGCAAAUCAGCCAUGUUGCGGUGAAUACGUUCCCGGGUCUUGUACUCACCGCCCGUCACACCAUGGGAGUUGUGUUUGCCUUAAGUCAGGAUGCUAAACUAGCUACUGCCCACGGCACACACAGCGACUGGGGUGAAGUCGUAACAAGGUAACCGUAGGUGAACCUGCGGUUGGAUCACCUCCUUUCUA